CCUUAGUUAGCUUAAUAAAAAGCCUUAGACUCUUAAUCUAAAAGAAAGUAGUUAAAUCCUACUACUAAGGA
Molecule: transfer RNA, 71 nt
Filed under: Salmacis sphaeroides
Lineage: Eukaryota; Metazoa; Echinodermata; Echinoidea; Temnopleuroida; Temnopleuridae
Description: tRNA-Lys
Rfam family: tRNA
About the family: Transfer RNA (tRNA) molecules are approximately 80 nucleotides in length. Their secondary structure includes four short double-helical elements and three loops (D, anti-codon, and T loops). Further hydrogen bonds mediate the characteristic L-shaped molecular structure. tRNAs have two regions of fundamental functional importance: the anti-codon, which is responsible for specific mRNA codon recognition, and the 3' end, to which the tRNAs corresponding amino acid is attached (by aminoacyl-tRNA synthetases). tRNAs cope with the degeneracy of the genetic code in two manners: having more than one tRNA (with a specific anti-codon) for a particular amino acid; and 'wobble' base-pairing, i.e. permitting non-standard base-pairing at the 3rd anti-codon position.
Source: RNAcentral